GAGGAGAUCGAGGUCAACGGGAGCAGAGAUCGAAGCAUGCAUACAUACGGAAAAACCAGCAUUCGCAGGGGAACUCGUGUGCUGAUCUGAUCUCUAGGCCAGCUCGCUCGCUCGCCGGCCGGCCGCCGCCACCACCACUCUGCACACCCAAAAUCCAUCACGGAGAACGACGAGCGCGUGCCAUGCAUCUCACGAACUUGUUUGCUGAUGGU
This 212-nucleotide long non-coding RNA is filed under the name Oryza brachyantha (malo sina). RNAcentral describes it as "long non-coding RNA (OBRA_LNC000556)". The record is from RNAcentral. Lineage: Eukaryota; Viridiplantae; Streptophyta; Magnoliopsida; Poales; Poaceae.